Molecule: ribosomal RNA, 444 nt
Filed under: Salmonella enterica
Lineage: Bacteria; Pseudomonadati; Pseudomonadota; Gammaproteobacteria; Enterobacterales; Enterobacteriaceae
Also listed under: 1 other name
Description: partial 23S ribosomal RNA
Rfam family: Bacterial large subunit ribosomal RNA
Source: RNAcentral
CGUAUCACCCAAGACAACUUUACGGAGUUGACGAUUGACGGAGCGAAGCGACGUCAAAGCGUUCAUUAAAGUCGAGUUGGCUUAGGGAUACGUUCGUUGGGUAGGGGAGCGUUCUGUAAGCCUGUGAAGGUGUGUCGUGAGGCAUGCUGGAGGUAUCAGAAGUGCGAAUGCUGACAUAAGUAACGAUAAAGCGGGUGAAAAGCCCGCUCGCCGGAAGACCAAGGGUUCCUGUCCAACGUUAAUCGGGGCAGGGUGAGUCGACCCCUAAGGCGAGGCCGAAAGGCGUAGUCGAUGGGAAACGGGUUAAUAUUCCCGUACUUGGUGUUACUGCGAAGGGGGGACGGAGAAGGCUAUGUUGGCCGGGCGACGGUUGUCCCGGUUUAAGCGUGUAGGUGUGUGUUCCAGGUAAAUCCGGUUCACUUUAACACUGAGGCGUGACGACGA